Molecule: small nucleolar RNA, 83 nt
Organism: Engraulis encrasicolus (European anchovy)
Lineage: Eukaryota; Metazoa; Chordata; Actinopteri; Clupeiformes; Engraulidae
Product: small nucleolar RNA snR60/Z15/Z230/Z193/J17
Exons: 1
Source: RefSeq, a predicted model, not a curated record
UGGAUGCAAUGAUGACCGCAUAGUUCAGCUUAUUACCCAUGACGAAUAAGAGCAUUGUCUUUCGCUCCUAUCUGACGUGUCUU